CCGCCGCCGCGCCACGUGCAUACGCGGGUGGUUGCGCCUCUGCUGUCUCGCAGCGCCAGGGGCUGCAGCCCGGUCCCCGCAGAGCAAACCCUUCCGGACCCGGCGUAGUGCCCACCCCGGCUGGCGUUCUUCUCCCCACGCGGGAAGAGCGGCUAGGCUGCAGCUUGGAACCGAGAGGAUCCCAGGGUGACUCUAGAGUCGACCGACCUGGACCAGAGCGCAAAGUACCCACACCUGCCUCUUGAGGCUCUGCCUCGUUUGUGGAGACAGGAAACAGCCUGGCACCCCUUGAACUGCGUAGUGGAUUUGUGUUUUCUGGGGCCUUCUGGACGUAGCUGGACUGUACCUGAGCUUCAGGAUGGACACUUUUUGGGUAGUCAAGAGAGAGAGAGAGGCCUGGGCACCUGCGGCAUCGCACUCCCCCACUUGCUUGGCAGGACGUGCCUCCUCGUUAUCUUUGCCCCAGGAUUCCUGGAGAGCUUGUGGGUCUGAGGCUACUCCUUCCUAACAAAUAGAACAUUCUUGAUUCAUUCUGAGUGUCACUUUCCCCCAGGCACCGUGCUAGAUGCUGGGUUACGCAAGUGGCUCUCUGGAGCUUUGAAAAAUCGCCGUGCCCGAGCACCACCCCAAAUCAUCAGAAUCUCCCGGGAUGGGACACAAGCAUCAGAAUUCUUUCCAGUUCAAGAUGAUUGCCAAAGGCAGUAAAGAUGAGAACCAAAGAGCUUAAAAAUCAGUGAGACUGGCUGAAGAAACGAAUGCUCUAAUCCCUAGAAAAGUACUAGGCCCAUUAUGUUUGAUGCUCAGAGGAUUAACAAUGAUUUUUGUUUUCAUUUUUGCAUCGUGUGAAAGAUGUAUGUUUAUUACUUACACUGUUUAUUUAAGGGAAUACUUAAAGGAGUGGGUGAAACAGAUUUUCUCCAUUCCUUCACUGACGGUUUGCUCUCAAUUAUUUGAGCUAAUGGAAAGACAUCUAGGCAGGGAUGAUAUGAAAAAUAGACUUUUCAAGCUUUAUUAGUUUUUUCUUGCAUUUUUGUUAGGAGAUGAGGUUGUCAAAUAAUGAAUUUAUGGACUUGGGGAGUAUCCAUGCAUUGCAAAAAUUCAUACCAAGCGAUCCAUUUUUCGCCUUUGCCUGAACGUUUUAUACCUCAUCUGGAAACUCCUGUUCUCUAAUGUCGCAAUGACACCUGCAUGGUAAUGAGCUGCCGGCUAUUCUGUGGGUACAUCCUUCAAAGCCUUGUCACCCAGUGUUUACUGAGGACCCGAUAUGCACCACACAUUGUGCCAGAACAUAGUGAGUGCUCAUUUAUUUCUACAGACCGGUUACAAAGACUAAGACAAAAACUAAAUAGGUGAAACCCGUGAACAUAAUGUUGAGAGAAUAAAGCAAGUCAGAAGAGAAGGUUGGCUGCCUUACCGGGAAGAGAAUACACUGACUGCAGCUCAGGAUUCCUUAAGAUCUAACCCAAAAGUGGUUCCGUACCAGGCUGUCUCAAUUGUUUAUCGUCAAUGUAUCGCGUGGUGGUCUAAACCUGACUUACGCGGUCAUUUAACCUUGUCUGGCUCAGUGGUCAGUGUGAUGUCAACGACCUCUCAGUGAACACGUCCUUUGGUUUCCCUGAGACGGAGACCUCUUGCGCUUAUCUUGGUGACUUGCGGUCUAGAGAUGAAGCUUAUCCUGUGUGACUGAGCAAGGACUCUGGAAGGUGUACUUGGAUGCCUUUGGACGCCUUGGACCCUCCGGAUGCAUUCUUUCUCUUGCUGUAUUGUAUUCCUUGUCUUCAUUUAAGCUUGAUGUCUGCAUGCUUUAAAAAAAAAAAAAAAAAAAAAAGUCUAACCCAAAAGUUAACCCCAGAGGCUGAGAAUGUGAGUGUAUCUUUUGUAUUUGUGACAGGAGGACCUCCCUUUUGGAAACUCAAAGAUAAAGACUGGAGUCUUUUGAAUCUUCCCUUCCCCGAAGCAGCGAGGAUGGGUGGGAGAAGGUCCCCGGGGUCAGAGUGAAUAAGGAGAGGGGUAAUCUUCUUAUAUAUUGAAGGCAUUACUAUCACAAACCCGUGGGGCAGACACAGAGGUGCCCUGAGAGCCCCCUCCAGGGAAAGGCUGACCGCCUGGCUCGGAGAAGUAUGGUUGAGUUGUCUGAUAGUUUCCCGUCUCCAGCCUUUUCAGAAUCUGGCUCAGCAUUUUUUUUAAACUGUGGCAAAAUACACAGGACAUAGAAUUUCCCGUCAGUGACAGAACCCUUAGAGCAGUCCUAAGUACAUUCACGGUUUUCACCACUACCUAGUUCCAGAACAUUUUCAUCCGCGCAAAAGGAAGCCCCAUCUCCAUUAAGCACUUGAUCCCUUUUUUGCCCCUUCUCCCCAGCCCCAGCAACCUCCAGUCCACUUUCCGUCUGUACGAAUUGGACUACUCCGGACGUUUCGUAUAAAUGGGAUGUGUGUCCUUUUGUGUCUGGUUUCCCUUCACUCAGCAUGUUUUCAGGGCUCUUUCCUUGGCCCUUGUAAAAUAGUGCUGCUGUGAAUAUUUGUGUGCAAGUUUUUCUCUGAACACCCAUUUUCAAACCUUUUGAGUAUAUUAAUUUGGGAGUAGAAUUGCUGAGUCGUAUGGUAAUUUUAUGCUUAACGUAUUGCGAAACGGCCACACUGUUUUCUACGCUGGCUGUACAAUUCUGCAUCUCUACCAGCAAUGUAUAAGGGUUCCAGUGUUUCCGUAUCUUCACCAGUACUUAUUAUCCAAUGUUUUAACAUUUAUUAUUAUUAUUAUUUUUUUGUAAUCUCUACACCCCAUGUAGGGCCGGAACUCAGGACCCAGAAUCUGAGAGUCUCGUGCCCUUCUGACUCAGCCAGCCAGGCACCCCUCCGAUGUUUUGACUACAGCCACCCAAUAGGUGUGGAGUGGUAUCUCAUUUGCAUUUGCUUUUUUUUUUUUUUUUUUUGGAGAGAGCAUGCCUAUGAAUGGGGAGAGGGGCAGGCAGAGAGAGAGGGAAAGAGAGAGAGAAUCUCAAC
Prionailurus viverrinus (fishing cat) is the source of this 3002-nucleotide long non-coding RNA. RefSeq lists it as uncharacterized. The transcript has 3 exons. The record is from RefSeq and is a predicted model, not a curated record. Lineage: Eukaryota; Metazoa; Chordata; Mammalia; Carnivora; Felidae.